AUUGAACGCUGGCGGAAUGCUUUACACAUGCAAGUCGAACGGCAGCACGGACUUCGGUCUGGUGGCGAGUAGCGAACGGGUGAGUAAUAUAUCGGAACGUGCCCAGUCGUGGGGGAUAACGUAGUGAAAAUUACGCUAAUACCGCAUACGAUCUAUGGAUGAACGCGGGGGACCUUUGGGCCUCGCGCGAUUGGAGCGGCCGAUAUCAGAUUAGGUAGUUGGUGGGGUAAAGGCUCACCAAGCCAACGAUCUGUAGCUGGUCUGAGAGGACGACCAGCCACACUGGGACUGAGACACGGCCCAGACUCCUACGGGAGGCAGCAGUGGGGAAUUUUGGACAAUGGACGCAAGUCUGAUCCAGCCAUUCCGCGUGCAGGACGAAGGCCUUCGGGUUGUAAACUGCUUUUGUACAGAACGAAAAGGUUUCUACUAAUACUAGGAGCUCAUGACGGUACUGUAAGAAUAAGCACCGGCUAACUACGUGCCAGCCGCCGCCGUAA
RNAcentral lists this ribosomal RNA (500 nucleotides) under uncultured bacterium. Its description in RNAcentral is "partial 16S ribosomal RNA". It matches the Rfam family "Bacterial small subunit ribosomal RNA", at positions 30 to 523 of the family's 1533-position model. The record is from RNAcentral.